UGGGGUGUAGCUCAGUGGAGAGCGCUUGCCUGGCAUGAGUGAGGUCCUGGGUUUGAUCCCCAGCUCUCCAG
This 71-nucleotide transfer RNA is filed under the name Heterocephalus glaber (naked mole-rat). It matches the Rfam family "tRNA". From Rfam's summary of the family: Transfer RNA (tRNA) molecules are approximately 80 nucleotides in length. Their secondary structure includes four short double-helical elements and three loops (D, anti-codon, and T loops). Lineage: Eukaryota; Metazoa; Chordata; Mammalia; Rodentia; Bathyergidae. The record is from Rfam by way of RNAcentral.